GGCGAUGUAGCUCAGGUGGUUAGAGCGCGCGGCUCAUAAUCGCGUUGUCCGGGGUUCGAAUCCCUGCAUCGCCA
Molecule: transfer RNA, 74 nt
Filed under: candidate division CSSED10-310 bacterium
Lineage: Bacteria; candidate division CSSED10-310
Description: tRNA-Met
Rfam family: tRNA
About the family: Transfer RNA (tRNA) molecules are approximately 80 nucleotides in length. Their secondary structure includes four short double-helical elements and three loops (D, anti-codon, and T loops).
Source: RNAcentral